GCCCGAGUGGUGGAACUGGUAGACACACAGGACUUAAAAUCCUGUGAUUGGAAACGAUCGUGCCGGUUCGAUUCCGGCCUCGGGCA
Molecule: transfer RNA, 86 nt
Filed under: Deltaproteobacteria bacterium
Lineage: Bacteria; Pseudomonadati; Myxococcota; Myxococcia
Description: tRNA-Leu
Rfam family: tRNA
About the family: Transfer RNA (tRNA) molecules are approximately 80 nucleotides in length.
Source: RNAcentral